GCGGCAACAAACAUGGCGCCAAAUACAGCAAUGAUAUCGAUGACUGUUUGAGCUGGAUUACCAGGUGGCUGGCCAGGGGGAACUGAAGAUUCGAUAAUUUCGUUUUCUAAAGAAAUUAAGAAAGGUGGGGUUUGCUCUUCAAUGAAUAAGGCAGACGACAAAAGCAAAAUGUCUGCCAGAGGAAAUCCGCGUCACUUUGUGCAAUAUGGAAAUUGUUUAAUUCAAUUGAGCAAUGUAAUAAUGUGACAACUGACAGGAUGGCGCAUUCUUAGAUGCAUUUCCUCUUUGGUUGCGACAUCACGUGAGAUUGAGUCGGAUUGACAUCUCGUUACGUUUGAACAUAAGGACCCUUUUUCUGGGUUUUUUUCUUCGCGACUCGUGAUAACCUUGCUUAAUUAUUUCCAUGCUGUCCAUGCUGAGUAACGUCAAUCAAAGAUGUGCAAGUUGUUAGCUAUUUUCAAGCCUAGGUGGAAACAGCGAACCAGGGAUUGGGUCAGGAAUUUCCCUGCAUGCUAAGCGACUGGUACUUUGAUGGGGGACUCACCUUCGAAACUCUCCUCUGUGAAUCCUCCAUAAUCCAGGGACUGCCCCCCAGAGCCUCCAAUCGUGCCAUUGUGCUGAUUGUGAGAUGACAGGAUGUAACUGAGCGCGUGAGCGCUAGGAUGAUGCCCGCCGAUAACUCCGCUGCUGGCAUCCACCGAACGUAGGAAUGUCGCUAUCGUCGUCGCUAUGACUCCCCUGUGAUUAGCAACAAACAAGUACUCCCAUCAGCGAGGGUAUACGAGAGAGGGUGGCAUGGUGGCAAGCAAAUAUAACGAGAAGUAAAAAUCCUUGAAAGUGCGUAGGCUACAACGACCGGGCCAAUCAACUACCUUGUCCAGCAGCCAUAGAAAACAGAUUCCCCGGAAUAUCAAAUACCGACGCCUCCACUUCUCACACACAAUUUCUUUUUUUUUGCCGGGAUCUCGGUGUGGGUGUCGGACUCGAGACACGCGAGAAAACUGCGCCCCGUCACGUAACCAGAGCACGAAAAGGACGGGCAAAGGGGAUAAUAUAUAUAUACACGUAUAUAUUCAAUAAAAACACCUGACCACAUGACGGCAGAGUAGAAGAGAAAAAAAGCUUAUCAUCUCUACCUUAGUUAUUGUCGUGUGACUGAAGCUCAAACGUUUGUUAACGCUGUGCGGCUCAUCCUUUUCGAAAUGGCUCUACAGCAAAUGACCAGUCAAAUGCUUGUUCGAGGUCGAUGAUAUUCGACACUGGACGUCAAGAUUUUAUUAAACACACAUUUUCGGCGAAGCUUGUAGGUCGCCGAAAAUGUGUUCUCUUGGUCUGCUGGCAGUGUGCAUGGCUUUGUAAAGGAGGGCAUCAGCCGUUUCUGACCUGAACCUGGAGCAACCAACGCCCCCAGGCUGAAGAUGUGUAGUUUCAAAAA
RNAcentral lists this long non-coding RNA (1435 nucleotides) under Daphnia magna. RNAcentral's name for it is "uncharacterized LOC116929227, transcript variant X1". Lineage: Eukaryota; Metazoa; Arthropoda; Branchiopoda; Diplostraca; Daphniidae. The record is from RNAcentral.